GAUCAGGCUCAGGAUGAACGCUAGCUACAGGCUUAACACAUGCAAGUCGAGGGGCAGCAUGGUCUUAGCUUGCUAAGGCCGAUGGCGACCGGCGCACGGGUGAGUAACACGUAUCCAACCUGCCGUCUACUCUUGGACAGCCUUCUGAAAGGAAGAUUAAUACAAGAUGGCAUCAUGAGUCCACAUGUUCACAUGAUUAAAGGUAUUCCGGUAGACGAUGGGGA
Molecule: ribosomal RNA, 224 nt
Filed under: uncultured bacterium
Lineage: Bacteria
Description: partial 16S ribosomal RNA
Rfam family: Bacterial small subunit ribosomal RNA
Source: RNAcentral